GACGAACGCUGGCGGCGUGCUUAACACAUGCAAGUCGAACGGAAAGGCCCUGCUUUUGCGGGGUGCUCGAGUGGCGCACGGGUGUGUAACACGUGAGUAUCCUGCCCUUGACUUUGGGAUAACUUCAGGAAACUGGGGCUAAUACCGGAUAGGAGCUCCUGCUGCAUGGUGGGGGUUGGAAAGUUUCGGAGGUUGGGGAUGGACUCGCGGCUUAACAGCUUGUUGGUGGGGUAGUGGCUUACCAUGGCUUUGACGGGUAGCCGACCUGGGAGGGUGGACAGGGACAAGGGGACUGAGGGACGGCGCAGAGGGGAACGGGAGGCAACGGGGGGAAGCAUUACACAGUGGGGGCGAGCGUGUGACGACGGUCUUCGGAUCGUAAAGACGUCCUACUGGGUGGGAACCGCUGUCGCCUGAGACGAAGCGGGAGUGACGGUAAUGAGUAAAGAAGCACCGGCUAACUACGUG
This 468-nucleotide ribosomal RNA is filed under the name uncultured bacterium. RNAcentral's name for it is "partial 16S ribosomal RNA". It matches the Rfam family "Bacterial small subunit ribosomal RNA", at positions 28 to 507 of the family's 1533-position model. The record is from RNAcentral.